This 551-nucleotide ribosomal RNA is filed under the name uncultured Halomonas sp. Its description in RNAcentral is "bacterial SSU rRNA". It matches the Rfam family "Bacterial small subunit ribosomal RNA", at positions 125 to 671 of the family's 1533-position model. The record is from RNAcentral. Lineage: Bacteria; Pseudomonadati; Pseudomonadota; Gammaproteobacteria; Oceanospirillales; Halomonadaceae.
UCUGCCCGGUAGUGGGGGAUAACCUGGGGAAACCCAGGCUAAUACCGCAUACGUCCUACGGGAGAAAGCAGGGGAUCUUCGGACCUUGCGCUAUCGGAUGAGCCUAUGUCGGAUUAGCUUGUUGGUGAGGUAACGGCUCACCAAGGCGACGAUCCGUAGCUGGUCUGAGAGGAUGAUCAGCCACAUCGGGGCUGAGACACGGCCCGAACUCCUACGGGAGGCAGCAGUGGGGAAUAUUGGACAAUGGGCGAAAGCCUGAUCCAGCCAUGCCGCGUGUGUGAAGAAGGCUUUCGGGUUGUAAAGCACUUUCAGUGAGGAAGAAAGCCUUGGGGCUAAUACCCCCAAGGGACGACAUCACUCACAGAAGAAGCACCGGCUAACUCCGUGCCAGCAGCCGCGGUAAUACGGAGGGUGCAAGCGUUAAUCGGAAUUACUGGGCGUAAAGCGCGCGUAGGCGGCCUGAUAAGCCGGUUGUGAAAGCCCCGGGCUCAACCUGGGAACGGCAUCCGGAACUGUCAGGCUAGAGUGCAGGAGAGGAAGGUAGAAUUCCC